GAUGAACGCUGGCGGCGUGCCUAAUACAUGCAAGUCGAGCGAACAGAUAAGGAGCUUGCUCCUUUGACGUUAGCGGCGGACGGGUGAGUUACACGUGGAUAACCUACCUAUAAGACUGGGAUAACUUCGGGAAACCGUAGCUAAUACCGGAUAACAUAUUGAACCGCAUGGUUCAAUAGUGAAAGGCGGCUUUGCUGUCACUUAUAGAUGGAUCCGCGCCGUAUUAGCUAGUUGGUAAGGUAACGGCUUACCAAGGCAACGAUACGUAGCCGACCUGAGAGGGUGAUAGGCCACACUGGAACUGAGACACGGUCCAGACUCCUAAGGGAGGCAGCAGUAGGGAAUCUUCCGCAAAGGGCGAAAGCCUGACGGAGCAACGCUGCGUGAGUGAUGAAGGUCUUCGGAUCGUAAAACUCUGUUAUCAGGGAAGAACAAAUGUGUAAGUAACUGUGCACAUCUUGACGGUACCUGAUCAGAAAGCCACGGCUAACUACGUG
This 497-nucleotide ribosomal RNA is filed under the name uncultured bacterium. RNAcentral's name for it is "partial 16S ribosomal RNA". It matches the Rfam family "Bacterial small subunit ribosomal RNA", at positions 28 to 507 of the family's 1533-position model. The record is from RNAcentral.